GGCAAGACUAAUAUUGGGGUUAUCAUACAUCAAGAGGUAAUGAAAUAUAAUGUGUCAGAGGUGUCCAGUUGGCCUAUGCCAAGUUAUGCCAUAUGAACCACAUCCUUGCCCCAUGAUCGUUCCAGAUGCACCAAGGAGCUCAUGCCAGAAUGCGCCAAAAGACUGAACCAGAUAUUUGUAAUUCAAGCCAGAAUCCAGCUUUGGUGCACCAAAAGCA
Molecule: long non-coding RNA, 217 nt
Filed under: Lupinus angustifolius (narrow-leaved blue lupine)
Lineage: Eukaryota; Viridiplantae; Streptophyta; Magnoliopsida; Fabales; Fabaceae
Description: long non-coding RNA (LANG_LNC000761)
Source: RNAcentral